GGGACCUGGCUCCGGACCGGCCUGAUGAUGGAGUUCGACUGCGAGGGCGUGAGACGGCUGCUUGGCAAGUUUUUAAAGAUAGUUCUCAGAAAGACCUGCUGAAUUUUACUGGCACAAUUCCUGUGAUGUAUCAGGGUAAUACAUAUAACAUACCAAUUCGUUUCUGGAUUUUGGAUUCUCACCCUUUCGCUCCCCCUAUUUGCUUCUUGAAGCCAACUGCAAAUAUGGGAAUCUUAGUCGGAAAACAUGUGGAUGCUCAAGGCAGAAUAUAUUUGCCCUAUCUCCAAAACUGGAGCCAUCCUAAAUCUGUCAUUGUUGGAUUAAUUAAAGAAAUGAUUGCCAAGUUUCAAGAGGAACUUCCCAUGUAUUCUCUAUCAUCAUCUGAUGAGGCACGGCAGGUAGACUUGCUAGCCUAUAUUGCAAAAAUCACUGAAGGUGUUUCAGAUACAAAUUCUAAGAGCUGGGCAAAUCAUGAGAAUAAAACAGUCAAUAAAAUUACUGUGGUUGGAGGUGGAGAGCUGGGUAUUGCCUGCACAUUAGCAAUUUCAGCA
Molecule: small RNA, 551 nt
Filed under: Pongo abelii (Sumatran orangutan)
Lineage: Eukaryota; Metazoa; Chordata; Mammalia; Primates; Hominidae
Description: processed transcript
Source: RNAcentral